UACGUAGGGGGCUAGCGUUGUCCGGAAUCAUUGGGCGUAAAGCGCGUGUAGGCGGUCCGGUAAGUCCGCUGUGAAAGUCGGGGGCUCAACCCUCGAAUGCCGGUGGAUACUGUCGGGCUAGAGUGCGGAAGAGGCGAGUGGAAUUCCUGGUGUAGCGGUGAAAUGCGCAGAUAUCAGGAAGAACACCCGUGGCGAAGGCGGCUCUCUGGAACGCAACUGACGCUGAGACGCGAAAGCGUGGGGAGCAAACAGG
Molecule: ribosomal RNA, 253 nt
Filed under: uncultured bacterium
Lineage: Bacteria
Description: partial 16S ribosomal RNA
Rfam family: Bacterial small subunit ribosomal RNA
Source: RNAcentral